AGUAACGCGUGAGGAACCUGCCUUUCAGAGGGGGACAACAGUUGGAAACGACUGCUAAUACCGCAUAACGCAUGGGUAUCGCAUGGUAUCUGUGCCAAAGAUUUAUCGCUGAGAGAUGGCCUCGCGUCUGAUUAGCUAGUUGGUGAGGUAACGGCCCACCAAGGCGACGAUCAGUAGCCGGACUGAGAGGUUGGCCGGCCACAUUGGGACUGAGAUACGGCCCAGACUCCUACGGAAGGCAGCAG
RNAcentral lists this ribosomal RNA (245 nucleotides) under uncultured bacterium. RNAcentral's name for it is "partial 16S ribosomal RNA". It matches the Rfam family "Bacterial small subunit ribosomal RNA", at positions 109 to 354 of the family's 1533-position model. The record is from RNAcentral.